This 63-nucleotide transfer RNA is filed under the name Manacus vitellinus (golden-collared manakin). It matches the Rfam family "tRNA", at positions 6 to 65 of the family's 71-position model. Rfam says of the family: Transfer RNA (tRNA) molecules are approximately 80 nucleotides in length. Lineage: Eukaryota; Metazoa; Chordata; Aves; Passeriformes; Pipridae. The record is from Rfam by way of RNAcentral.
AUUAGCUCAGUUGGUUACAGCAUGGUGCUAGUAACACCAAGAUUGUGGGUUUGAUCCCUGUAU